GACGAACGCUGGCGGCGUGCCUAACACAUGCAAGUCGAACGCAGUGGGGACGGGUGAGUAACACGUGGGUAACCUCCCAUCAGAGGGGAUAACACUUGGAAACAGGUACUAAACCGAUACUGAUGGAUGGACCCGCGGUGCACUGGCUAGGUGGUGAGGUAACGGCUCACCAAGGCCACGAUGCAUAGCCGGCCGGAGAGGGUGAUCGGCCACACUGGAACUGAGACACGGCCCAGACUCCUACGGGAGGCAGCAGUGGGGAAUCUUCGGCAAUGGACGCAAGUCUGACGGAGCAACGCCGCGUGAGUGAAGAAGGUUUUCGGAUCGUAAAGCUCUGUUGGUGGAGAAGCGGUAUCUAACCAGAAAGCCACGGCUAACUACGUGCCAGCAGCCGCGGUAAUUC
RNAcentral lists this ribosomal RNA (403 nucleotides) under uncultured bacterium. Its description in RNAcentral is "partial 16S ribosomal RNA". It matches the Rfam family "Bacterial small subunit ribosomal RNA", at positions 28 to 526 of the family's 1533-position model. The record is from RNAcentral.